AAGUGGUCUGUAUAAAAAAUUAAAAAUUUCCACUUCGCAAUUUAAAUGUUUUUCAGCAGCUGCAAGGAUUUUCAAUUGACAGCUGUAGAAAUAAGUGUUGACUGUGUGCAAGUGCAGUGAAGUGAAUGAUUGCAUGAAACCGCAAAUAAAAUAUUAAAAUAAUAGCAUAAAUACUACACGAAAUAUAAAGAAAUAAAUAAAUAAAAAAUUAAAAAAAAAAAACCAAAGUGUUUAGGGUAACAGAAUUGAAAAUCCCUAAACUCUAAUGGAGUGAAUGUGCUAGUUUCUUAAAAAAUUUGAAUACAAAACGUUGAAACUUCAAGCUCAAGAUGAGGAAAUAAAAAUGAAAAUUUGACACACGCAAACGCCACAUAAGACAGCUGAGCCGAGCAUACAAUGUCUGCAGCUNUCUUCUGUUUUUAUAUUCGCAAAACCGGUGAUUAGGAAGUGUUGCACCCUAACGUUCUAAUGCAGACGAUAUGGGCACAACAUGGCCUCAGCACAUAUAUUACAAUACUACAGCAACACUAGAACUAAAACAGCGGCAGCGGUAUCCACAAAAACAACAACAGGGACAACAAUUCCGCAACAUUGUUACGAGCGAAACACUUCCGGCACACCAGAGGCAUGUCUCAUCACUAACGAGCGGAAACAAUUUGCAGACGAGUCAUCAGCAACAGCUGUUAGUAAAANUACAACAACAACAACAAAGGCAUCUAGAGCAAUAUCGACGGCAUUGUUAUCAUAUUGUCUGCCGCCCAUUGCAACAGUCGACAAUAUUUGGGGUCACAGCAACGCGGUCACGACGCCACUUCAAGAGCCGACUAACGAUCAGAAACUGCAUAGAACCAAGCUACAGGUGCUGCAUGAGAGUACUGCAAACGAAGUUAACAAAGGGGUAUAUAACAGUUUUGAAACGCCAACGCCAUGGAAACCAACUGCUGCCACAAAGCGACCAAGCUCCAGGCCAACAGACCCGACGCUGUCGCCGAAACAGAAAUCACACGAAGCUGCAGAUGAUAUUCAUACGUUUCGUUUCGUGGACAGUGGUAGGAGAGGCAGAAGCAAAAGUGAAAGCGCAGAAAGCUACGGUGACUUGCCAGCAGAACGCCCUCAGAGACUGCAACAACAACAACAGAAACAGCAAAAACGUUGGCAUUCGGAAAGCAGAAGCGGAGCAUUGUUGUGUGAAUGGACAAGAGCUAAAGGUAUUGCAAAUAUGUCAAGUGCAGGUGUGUCUAACGCCAACCAACAACAACAAGGACUGGGCAGUGAUGUUGCCGACAAAUUUGUUGGUGUUAUUGCAAGUUUACGCAAAACAUCUACAAGGAAUUGCGCUCGACAGCGGUCACAAGCUAUUGCUUACACGCACUGUGCACAAACAAAGGAGAAACAUAACAACACAAACAACAAAACCAAAUGCUGCCAAUCAAACGAAACGAAACAAAGCGAAACACACAACGUUGCCAGAGACUGCCACGCAGCUGGGGAAUGCGAUUGCUGCUGCAAUUCGCAUAUCUUUUCGUCAUGUACACGCCAAUCUUCCAGAAAUGCUAUCGAACAGCAACAACAACUACAACUCAGCGGUCUUUCAAACGGCUCCAACCAAGAAUUUUCUCAGCUGCUUGCCGACAGCUGCUGGUCGCUCUCUUGCAAUGCUGCACCUCAGCUACUCAAACAACCACAAACAGCAACAACUGCAACAACUGCAACACCUUUGCAAUCACAAUCCACAACAACAGCAAAAGUCACAAAUGAACAACGAAGUAUAUUUCAAUACAAAAGCAACAAAAAUAGCAAAUUGUUCUACAAGAGGGGUGUUGCGAACGAACUCUAUUUGGAAAGAGCUGCUGCAGUUGAUGCUGACUUUGGUGGCGGUUGCGGCACAAUUCUAUCUACGCUGUGUUGCUCUGUGCGUUCGAAGCUUCUGCUUGCCGUGGCCGACCUGCAAGCCCUGUCACGCGCUCUUUUCUCACUCAUCAUUAUCUUCAACAUGCUGCCGCUAUUUUAUGCAGUUGCUGCUUCUGAAUUAAGAGCCAGCGGCGGUCCAAAUCCAGCGGCGCAUCCUUGGAUACCCGUUGUGGCUUACUUGGAAACUCUGCCGAGACCAACGAAACCGCCAAAAUGCGACCAGACAUUCGUUUCACGUAUUAGCGGCCCACAGAAUGGCACAUUCACCGCGCCGUUGCUGCACAAUCACAAGAACCAUUCGCGUCAGUGCUUGUACACUUUCCUAGCAGGACCCGGGCAACGCGUCGAAGUACUUUUUACAUCGUUUAAUUUAAGAGGAAGUCCACCAGACGGUUCUGCCGUCGGUGAAUUACCAGCCUGUGUUCACGAGUACAUGGAUAUAUAUUCCGAAGUGCAGUCGUCAGAUCCAGCUGAACUAAUAAAUUCUCCGUUUGGUGGACGAUAUUGCGGUACAAUACCGCCACGAAGACGUAUCUCCAUGUACCGAGCUAUAGCCAUCUCAUUUUUUACCAACAAAAAUGUAUCAACACCCGACUUAUUCGAAGGAACUUAUAGAUUUAUAAAUGCAUCUGAAUAUGAAAUUGGGAUACCAAUAGCGGGUUCACCAUGUUCCUACACCAUUACGCCUAGCAUGAGUAUCAAUAAAACUGGGGCACUCAUAUCGCCAACUUAUCCGGGUGCCUAUCCAAAAGAUAUGUCAUGCACAUAUCAAUUCCUCGGCGAAUCGAAUCAAAGGGUUAGAUUAGAAUUUCGAGAUUUUGAUCUAUUUUUUGGUGGACCACACUGCCCAUUUGACUAUGUCAAAGUGUAUGAUGGUCCCGAUAAUUCGUCAGCAUUAAUUGGUACAUAUUGCGGACAGCAAAGGAAUUUAGUUUUAUACUCAAGCGAAUCGAGCCUUUUUGUUCAUUUUUAUACAUUGCCGAGAACAGCGAAUACCCAAAAUCGUGGCUUUAAAGGAAUUUAUGAAUUUAGCGAAAGUUUUGUUAAAUUAGAUUUUAUACGCGAAAAUGAUGGCAUUCACAUACGUGGCUCGGAAUGUGAUCAAAAGAUAUUAUCGAGGAAGGAAUCAACGGGUUUUGUGCUCUCACCAAAUUAUCCCUAUCCAUAUAUACCGAAAACUGUGUGUAGAUACUUCAUUUACGGCAUGCAAGAUGCGCAGCAUCUCGAACGUGUUCGUCUGGAGUUUUCCGCUUUCAAUAUACCCAAGGUAGAGCACAAGGACAAAAGCGAGUCCAAUUGCACAGACGGUUAUCUUAAAAUCUAUCUGAAGGGACAGGAAACAGCAGAUGCCUAUGACAAAUUUGACUAUGAGUUAUGUGGCAAUGAAACGCAGCGAGUGCUUAGCGAUGGACCACGCUUGGCAAUGGUCUUCAGUUCGGGUGAACUACAGGGUCGCGGUUUCAAGGGUAAAUACACCUUUGAAACUGAAUAUAAAAUACCUGGCACAGCCGCACCCGAUGGCACGUGCAGCUUCACAUAUGUAAGCAGUUCAAAGAAACGUGGCGAACUGAACAGUCCUCGCUAUCCAUCCAACUACCCAUCGGACACGAAUUGUUCGUAUCUGUUUCUAGGUGAACCGAAUGAGCAGGUCACGAUCGUCUUUGAUCAUUUCAAGAUAAAAGCGGAUGGUAACUCAAAUGCAACGGCUGGAGCAUAUGGUUCUAGCGCUUGCUUUGAAGAUUGGCUGGAAAUGUAUGUUGUUUAUCGUGAUAACAACGAUCGUUUUCUUGGUCGCUACUGUGGUUUGACAGCACCCGGCCCCGUUGAGAGCCCAAGGGGUGCGGUGGGUCUGCGUAUCACAUUGCAUACGGAUCAAGAGAACGUGGCUAGCGGCUUCAAAGCGCGCUACUUUUUCGAAUCUCCGCGCUCCGAUGUGGCCGAAUGCGGUGGCAACUUCUCAGGUCAGGACUCGGGUAUUAUCACCUCUCCCAACUACCCAGCGGGCUAUAAGGCACCCAGUCGUGGCAUGGCUUCAAUGGCAUGCAAUUGGAUAAUGACGGCACGGCCGGGUUAUAAGUUAUCAAUUAACUUUGAGCACUUCUCCAUCGAAGGCGAUCCAGCAAAUCGUGGCUGUCCUGCUGCUGUUUUGCGACUUUGGGUCAAUGUCGAUUCAGACCAACCGCCAUUGGAAUUGUGUGGCGAAAAGCCACUAAUUGAACAGUGGUAUUAUAUUUCCACUGGACAAACUGCUCGUAUCAGUUUCACAACCAGCGACAAAACCGUUGGUGCUCCGGGCUUCCGUAUUGUAUGGACUGAAAUACAAGACUCUGGUCCUGGACCCCCGUCCAUUGGACUGCUCUGUGAAUCAACAUACCACUUCCAAUGCGACGUGGGCUACUGCAUUUCCGAUAAGCUACGUUGCGAUGGCGUCAAGAACUGUGGUCCCGGUGAUGAUAGUGACGAAUUGCACUGCGACGGAAAUACACCACUGGUGCCAUCAUUAAUACAACUCAUUGGUUUAGCAAUUGGCGUGGCGCGAUUCUUACAAUUUUAAAUGCCCACUUUUAAGUGUCACAUCAAAAACUUUAAAGAAAUAAAAUAAAAUCUAAAGUAUACGAUUACUUGCAUUGUUCUUAACAACAAAAAAUAAAUAAAGUAUAAAUUGUCGAUUCGCAAGUAUUUUUUGAACUUGUUGAAAUUGCUAAAUCAACUCAAGCGAAACAUGAUCCUUUAAAAACUACACUUACGGUUGAUAAGGCGCGCCCAAAGCCACUUUAAGUUUACCGUUUGAAAUUGUUGCAAUUACAAAAAUCUAAACUAAAACAUUUUUCGCAUACAAAUAAGUCAUCUUUGAUUCAGAAACACGUACCACACAAGCGCCCGAGGAGGAUCACGGCGUUCUAAUUAUAAUAACACUAAUCGUCGUCUCGUUCCUAAUCUGUCUCCUA
This 4859-nucleotide unclassified non-coding RNA is filed under the name Bactrocera latifrons. Its description in RNAcentral is "cubilin, transcript variant X2". The record is from RNAcentral. Lineage: Eukaryota; Metazoa; Arthropoda; Insecta; Diptera; Tephritidae.